Molecule: RNA transcript, 1788 nt
Organism: Polyodon spathula (Mississippi paddlefish)
Lineage: Eukaryota; Metazoa; Chordata; Actinopteri; Acipenseriformes; Polyodontidae
Gene name: MORN repeat-containing protein 1-like
Exons: 14
Source: RefSeq, a predicted model, not a curated record
CCGUUGCUAAGGACGCCCCAAGAGGAAGAUGGCUGCUUCCAGUACACAGCAAAGAAAUUCCAGAUACUACAUCGGAGAAGUGAAACAUCAACUCCGGGAUGGAUUCGGGUUGUACGUGUAUCCCAAUAGCUUCUUUCGUUAUGAAGGAGAGUGGAAAGCGGGAGCAAAACACGGACACGGAAAGUUAAUAAUGAAGGAUGGGAGUUAUUACGAAGGGGAGUUUUCCAGCGGAGAAAUAGAUGGGAAUGGGUUAAGAUACUGGGCAUCUUCAGGUAACACAUAUUCUGGGCAGUUUCGCUGUGGAGAGCUCCAUGGGUUUGGUGUGAUGCAGUAUGGGGAUGGCAGUCGAUAUGAGGGCGAGUUUUCUUAUGGUUUGAGAGAAGGGCAUGGUUUUCUGCUGGACAAGGAGGGACAUGCUUACCAAGGUUCUUUCCAUAACAAUAAGAAACAUGGAGAAGGGCAGAUGACUUUCAGGAAUGGAGAUCAGUAUGAAGGAGGCUGGAUACUGGACCAGAGACAAGGUCAUGGCAUGCUUCGUUUUAUAGACGGCUCAAUCUAUGAGGGUCAGUGGAGAAACGGCCUUUUCAAUGGCCAGGGGAGCAUGAUUCACUGCUCGGGUGUCAUUUAUGAAGGCAUGUGGACGAAUGGGCAGCCUGCUGCUGGGGCGAGUAAGAUUGUGAUUGAGGGAGGGGACGUGCUGGAGGUGUUCCGGGGCUCCCCUUUUACUGUUGAAGUCCAACUCCAAAACGACGAGGGAGAAAUAACUGCAGAUGAGAGUGGCCGUGUCCUGAAGGUCUCGGCUGGUGUCCGGUACACUGAACUUCCUCCCAGCUGCUCUUCCACUGCCUUCCUGAAGCUGAUUGAAGACAUGGAAGAAAAACCUUUUCCAACGCCAUUCGGCUUUGAGUGUAUUAGCUACCCUCUGAUGGAGAAGAUGCUUGAAAGAGACCACUCUAGAGGCUCAGACUCCCUUGCGGUGUCUAAAUCCGGAUUUGUGCUGACUGACUCCCCAGUCCCUGAGGGCGACGUGGAGUCUGGAAGUGGAUCAGACACCAUGGGCGGCAGGGGGGCGCCUCCCAGCAACCUGGAUGGAAACCUGGAGUUCUCAGGGUCAGAGGAUGAUUGGCAACCCCCUCCAGCCAAUCAGAGAGUAGAAGCAGGCUGUGCUAAAUUCCAAAAUGUCAUGCUUGCCCCUCCUCCCACAAACUACCAGGUUUUUCUGGUGAUGGAUGAAUUGGAAAAGCAAAAAGCAGCUGGAAGCCAGCUGGCAAAGCUUCUUCAGAGAAACUGACGUCAUCCCUGGACAGAAGUGCUGACAGCAGAUCCAACAUAGUGAGCCACGUGGGAGGUAAUUCAAAGACCAGCCUUGCAGACAGCAUGAAUGUGAGAGCAGGUGAAUAUGUGAUUAUGGUCCAGGACGUGACCAGCCCCCCGUUCCUGAACCGCCCUCUAGCGCCAGCGUUUGUGCUUCUCAGAGUCAUUCCCCCGAAGAAUGGCAAGAGCAGUAAGAGUGGAAGAAAGGAAAGCAAGUGAUCACACCAGUCAAGGCAGCUUCUUGGAAACUAAUGUGUGAGUGACUCAAUUCUAGCAGGGAUCACCAUGUGUGUGUUUUACACUACAUUUUCAUUCCAGAUAAUCUCAUUGAAGACCAAAGCAUGGAGAUAUUGGCAAUUCAAAAGGGUCUAUAAUGUUUAUUUUACAAGAAAGCCUCAGUACCUUGUAUUGUUUUUUUUUUCUUGUUUUUUUUUUACUGUAUGUGAAACGUAUCAUAAAAUGUGCAGCCCCUUC